UCCUACGGGAGGCAGCAGUAGGGAAUCUUCGGCAAUGGGGGCAACCCUGACCGAGCAACGCCGCGUGAGUGAAGAAGGCUUUCGGAUCGUAAAGCUCUGUUGUAAGAGAAGAACGUGUGUGAGAGUGGAAAGUUCACACAGUGACGGUAACUUACCAGAAAGGGACGGCUAACUACGUGCCAGCAGCCGCGGUAAUACGUAGGUCCCGAGCGUUGUCCGGAUUUAUUGGGCGUAAAGCGAGCGCAGGCGGUUUAAUAAGUCUGAAGUUAAAGGCAGUGGCUUAACCAUUGUUCGCUUUGGAAACUGUUAGACUUGAGUGCAGGAGGGGAGAGUGGAAUUCCAUGUGUAGCGGUGAAAUGCGUAGAUAUAUGGAGGAACACCGGUGGCGAAAGCGGCUCUCUGGUCUGUAACUGACGCUGAGGCUCGAAAGCGUGGGGAGCAAACAGGAUUAGAUACCCUGGUAGUCC
This 467-nucleotide ribosomal RNA is filed under the name uncultured bacterium. RNAcentral's name for it is "bacterial SSU rRNA". It matches the Rfam family "Bacterial small subunit ribosomal RNA", at positions 337 to 796 of the family's 1533-position model. The record is from RNAcentral.